ACGAACGCUGGCGGCUGCUUAACACAUGCAAGUCGAACGGAGUGGCGAAAGGGUGAGUAACGCGUGAGCAACCUGCCUAUGACAGUGGGAUAGCCUCGGGAAACCGGGAUUAAUACCGCAUAGUCAUAGAUAGGUUCGCGUCUGAUUAGCUAGUUGGUGAGAUAACAGCUCACCAAGGCGACGAUCAGUAGCCGGUCUGAGAGGCUGAACGGCCACAUUUGAACUGAGACACAGUCCAAACUCCUACGGGAGGCAGCAGUGGGGAAUAUUGCACAAUGGGGGAAACCCUGAUGCAGCGACGCCGCGUGAACGAAGAAGGUAUUCGUAUCGUAAAGUUCGGUCCUAUGGGAAGCAGUACCAUAGAAGAAAGCUCCGGCUAAAGACGUGCCAGCAGCCGCGGUAAUAC
RNAcentral lists this ribosomal RNA (406 nucleotides) under uncultured bacterium. RNAcentral describes it as "partial 16S ribosomal RNA". It matches the Rfam family "Bacterial small subunit ribosomal RNA", at positions 29 to 526 of the family's 1533-position model. The record is from RNAcentral.